Molecule: non-coding RNA, 247 nt
Organism: Pelobates cultripes (western spadefoot toad)
Lineage: Eukaryota; Metazoa; Chordata; Amphibia; Anura; Pelobatidae
Source: the annotation of a GenBank genome assembly
CACAGGUAGAGGGCUAAGCUCCUGCCCCUUCUCACCCACAGGUAGAGGGCUCAGCUCCUAUCCCCUUCUCACCCACAGGUAGAGGGAUCAGCUCCUGUCCCCUUCUCACCUACAAGUAGAGGACUCAGCUCCUGUCCCAUUCUCACCCACAGGUAGAGGUUUUAAGUCCCGUCCCUUCUCACCCACAGGUAGAGGGUACAGCUCCUGUCCCUUCUUACCCACAGGUAGACGGCUCAGCUCCUGUCCC